GGGGGUGCCCCGGUUUCGACUGGUACGAUUCGGGGUGCAGGCCGCAGGUGGAGCGCUCAUCUCCUGAUUGGGCAAAACAUUUAACUGCCAACAAUAAUGUCAGUUACAAUUACGCCUUAGCUGCGUAAUUGCGUGGAACCGUUCCGCCGCUCUGAGGGACGGCUUCCGCGUCGCAAACGGAGCUGGUCAAGCUGCCGCUUCCGAAGACAGCUUGAUGAGAUUUUCGGAAUACGGGCGGAUCGCGCGCUGUUUAGCCAAGUCCGCCCCGACAAGUUAAUAGACAGCUAAACCUGUAGACGUUUGUGUUUCGCGUAUUAGGACGCGGGUUCGACUCCCGCCACCUCCAUAG
This 349-nucleotide transfer-messenger RNA is filed under the name Treponema sp. It matches the Rfam family "transfer-messenger RNA". From Rfam's summary of the family: Bacterial tmRNA, also known as 10Sa RNA or SsrA, is named for its dual tRNA and mRNA-like properties. Its role is to liberate the mRNA from a stalled ribosome. To accomplish this part of the tmRNA is used as a reading frame that ends in a translation stop signal. The record is from RNAcentral. Lineage: Bacteria; Pseudomonadati; Spirochaetota; Spirochaetia; Treponematales; Treponemataceae.